RNAcentral lists this ribosomal RNA (253 nucleotides) under uncultured bacterium. RNAcentral describes it as "partial 16S ribosomal RNA". It matches the Rfam family "Bacterial small subunit ribosomal RNA", at positions 524 to 776 of the family's 1533-position model. The record is from RNAcentral.
UACGUAGGGACCGAGCGUUGUCCGGAUUCAUUGGGCGUAAAGAGCUCGUAGGCGGCCACUCAAGUCGAAUGUGAAACCUCGAGGCUUAACCUCGAGCCUGCAUUCGAUACUGGGCGGCUAGAGUCUGGUAGGGGGAUCUGGAAUUCCUGGUGUAGCGGUGGAAUGCGCAGAUAUCAGGAGGAACACCGGCGGCGAAGGCGCUGCUCUGGGCCGGUACUGACGCUGAGGAGCGAAAGCGUGGGGAGCGAACAGG